CAAUAGCGUAUAUUUAAGUUGUUGCAGUUAAAAAGCUCGUAGUUGGAUUUCGGAUGGGAUUUGCCGGUCCGUCGUUACGAUGUGCACUGGCCAGUCCUAUCUUGUUGUCGGGGACUAGCUCCUUGGAUUCACUUCCUGGGACUAGGAGCUGACGAGGUUACUUUGAGUAAAUUAGAGUGUUCAAAGCAAGCCUACGCUCUGAAUACAUUAGCAUGGAAUAACACGAUAGGACUCUGGCUUAUCUUGUUGGUCUGUGAGACCAGAGUAAUGAUUAAGAGGGACAGUCGGGGACAUUCAUAUUUCAUUGUCAGAGGUGAAAUUCUUGGAUUUAUGAAAGACGAACUUCUGCGAAAGCAUUUGUCAAGGAUGUUUUCAUUAA
This 379-nucleotide ribosomal RNA is filed under the name uncultured eukaryote. Its description in RNAcentral is "partial 18S ribosomal RNA". It matches the Rfam family "Eukaryotic small subunit ribosomal RNA", at positions 592 to 976 of the family's 1831-position model. The record is from RNAcentral.